This is a long non-coding RNA of Tympanuchus pallidicinctus (lesser prairie-chicken), 5673 nucleotides long. RefSeq lists it as uncharacterized. The record is from RefSeq and is a predicted model, not a curated record. The transcript has 4 exons. Lineage: Eukaryota; Metazoa; Chordata; Aves; Galliformes; Phasianidae.
CUCCACACUGUUUGAAGUGAAAGGAUGUGGAAAGAAGCUCAGACUCUACCAAGACACUCCUCCAUUGCUGCUGGUGAGCAUCUCAUGGACAUUCAUGUGGCAGCCUUGCCCAGGGGCAAACCCAUGAAUCACAGAGCCAGAAAUACUUUCAUCUCCACAAGAAAGAAGCUGACAUCAGGUCUAUGAAGACACACUGGAGGAAUUAGAACCACAACAUUAUUUGCAGGUAAACCAGCAUACAUUGAGUUCCACUGCCUUCAUUACGGAAACUGCAUCUGUAACAACUUUGCAACCAGGCAGUACCUGCCCAGGAAAGCUGUCUCCUUCGGAGAGCUUGCAGCAUUGAUCUGGAAGAUGCUAUUAUGGUGUCUCCCACCCAUGCCCAUAGGAUGCUCUCACUCAUUCAGGUUCUCAGCUGCCUGUCAGACUGGGCCAUGAUGAAACUCAACAUCUUGCAGAGACAUAAAAUGGAAAAUAGGCAACUCAUCAGAAAAGUAGCAGCUGUUUUACACCAUCACAAAACAAAAUCAUCAUACACUAAAAACUAGAUUUAGCAGUUUAAAAGAGCCGCUAACACAAAAUUAGCUGGAGACAACAGCGUGAUUUUGUAACUGACAGUGCUUCAUUCAAACGCCCUAAUUCAUGUAAAAACUACUUAGCAAACAUUAAACGCCUGAUGCUUUUGGAAAGGAGGAGAGCAUUCAGACUUUCAAUGGCUGCUUAGGAAGAAUGCAUAGAUUUAUUACAUCUAUUUUUUUUUUCUUUUACAAAUUUUAAAUAAGCAUCAUAUCAAAAGUACCACCUCUUAAAUACCAGUGAUGCUACAGUCCUCCUGACAGAGGGAGACACCAUGCUUUAUUGGUGAGCUAUUGUGUUUACUGGGGGCUGACACCUGUAAAAAGGUUGUACGAGGCUUCUGUGAUGAAUGAGAUGAUAUAAGAAGGCCGUGAGCACUUUGGAUCAUCAAAUACUUCAAUAACUGGAUAUGGCUGUUCAUACAACCGUAAGUUCAUACACAUGGAGAGGAUAUAAAGAAGCAGCUGCCUUCUGAAUGAGCUUUCUGUUGCCUUCUCAUACGUGUACACAAUCUGUUCUAAAUGCCACACAAUCUUUCCUUUGUCCCAGAGGUAUUUCUCAUUGAGGAUGAAAAUUUCCCUGUGCUAUUGCUAUGUCCUGCCCAUAGCUAACACAGCUUCUGAAGGUUAGAAACUUGCCUGGCAAGAAAUGUAUCUAAGUCUAUUGCUACCAGAGUGUAUGUGGCUUGGCCAGAGACCUGUCAUCUAGCAACCAUGAAGGGAUGGUUUUUGAUUGUUUGGAACUAGAUUUAAGUUGUCCAUAUGACUACUAGGAGAAGAACUGGGUUUAUUUUUUCUUUUCUCCCAAAUCAAUCUAACAAUAGCAUCUAGUGCAUUUUCCCUGCCUGUGGAACAGGCUCAACUCCAUUGUCCUUAACAGUCCCUGUGGGUUUUGUAAAGUUAAUAGCUUAGAAAUAGCUUGGAAGAUUAAUAAUAAUACAUACGUGUCAAGAAGGGAAUAUUACCACUGACAGUAAUAGCAGUUAUGCUUGUGUAGAUGAAAUCCACAUGCUUUUCAAGAGAGGCAGGUCUCUGACAGCUCCUUUCUGACCUGAGUUAGUGGGAGCACAUGCAUCAUUCAACAAAACAGUGCUGUCCUAGCUGAGGUGCUUCCAUGUCUCUGCAGUGGUAAACCCCUUUGCACUUCUUGUCUUGGGUGAUUCUCCCAUCAAGUCUCAUCCAACUGCUGCCUGACAAAGCAGUCCUGGUCUGGAUACGGAAUGAGGGAGGGAUAAAUAUUAAGCUGAAGCCUGGCUAUUUGUUCAGUGCAGACAAGUUGUGGCCCUGAAGAAGUCUUUUACCUUCCAAUAAAUUGAAGGGGUGGGGGUGUAAAAUGUUCCACAUCCUUCAAGGUUAUUUUUAUUUAGAUCCCACUCUUCAAAAGACUAUAUAUAUGGAUGCAAGAGUCAAGGUGCAAUCCAAAGUCUGAGAAGUUAUAGACUCCUUGAGACAGUCUCUGAUGGAUCUGAAUUUUUCAGCUAAAGAACAUCUAUGCUCUUGACCUGAGACCUAGAUUUCACAUUUCAGGAAUUAAAUGAGCAUCAUUUUCUAAAAGACAUUAGACCAAGGCUGGGCUACACAAAAGAUAGCUUCAGAAUUUAGAUGAAGACACUGACAUGACAAGGAGACUUAAAACCUGACAUAUUUUGCUUCUGUUGGAAAGCCAUACUUGGUUUGUUACACCCCACUGUGUCUUCUUAUGUACAAGAGGCAAAGUAAAAGUGGAAGUUGUUUUGGACUGAGCAUCUCAGAAGGCAGAAGGCUCAGUGACCUAGAUGAUCUGGCCUUGUCUUAAAUUACUCUCUUCCCAAUUUAUCCUUAGACUGUGCCAAAAACCUGCCAAAAUAUAAUGGAAAUGUUUGCGAUCCCUGCCAAACUGUGAAGCCUCUGGCUCUGAGAUAUUUCAGAUGUCUUGAUUAGUCUGAAAGAGAUGGGCCUGAAAAUAAGGGAGUGUGAAAGGAAAAGUAUUUCCUACCUGCAGCUGCAAAGCUGGGACUCAUGUCCGAGCGUUUGUCUUGCUCCUUCCAUACAGACAGAUGGACUUUCUCAGGAUAGAGUUCAACCUGCUUAAAAAAAAAAAAAAAAAAAAAAAGUUAAAAUUAAAAUUAAAAACAAAAUCAUGAUGGGGCAAGGAGACAAGAGCCUCCUCCCACAAAAGGACUGUAUUCAGCUACAAGCAGUGAACCCCUCACCUUUCCCUUGAUGCAAACGCUGACAUUUUUGCAGGCGUGUCCCAAAAUAGGGUUUUUCCAGAAGGCAGCCAGCUGCCCAGAUGUGCCACUGCUGCAGUCCUGAGGAGAUGAACAGAGGACCUUGCAGCAAGCAAGGAGCAGAGCCUAUGAAGAGACUGACUGCUCUUGUUUCAGAUCAGAUGGAUGGCUCUAAAUGACCUGGAAAGAUGUUCCCAGAGCUCUGAGCCACAGCAUUAAGAGCCAAGACACCACUAGCACUUCUGAAGUUGUUAUUAGUGACUGAAGUAGCACUUGUCAACUGCGACUACAGUUUCAAGCAAUAGUUUAACAGCAUCAACUUGAAGUAAGGUUAUAUCUCUGUGUGCCUGGUGUGCUGCUGACACUUAAAGGAAAUAAUUGGUAGACUUAGAGCAAGGGCAGACGCCAGAGGUAGAACAGUGGUAGAGGUUGGAUACUCAAAGCAUAAUUCAACAAUUCUGCAUGAAACAAGAGCUGAGAAUCCAUUGCAUGCCCUGGCAUAAAAGGCACAAGGAAGCUGUAACCCAGCCUGCAGAAAGUGCUCUGCUCUGCAGUCAUCAGCUGUGCUGCUUGGAUGUUUAAGGGCUCAGCUACAGCUGCAGUCUGCAGCCCUGUCCCAACGAGAGGACAAAAACAUGUUGCCCCUUGCAGUUCUUGGCUGGCUUUUUUGGAAAGCACGUGUAAUGCAAUCUCCAGCUGAUUUCUGGCUUCAGGACAGCAAAGCCAAGAGAAAAUAUAUGGGUAUAUGUGCUUGUAUGCUGUGGAAAAGAAGACAGGAAAUUGUCUGGAAUGAAGCGCUCAGUCUCAUUUUACCUGUAGCUUGGCUGUGGGAUGCUAAAAUAGAGGAAUUAGCAUGCAAAUCCAGCAGUCCCUUGGCUGUCAUCACCUUCCAAUUAGCUACAUUUGAUUUCGGUGGGCGCUGAUGGAUUGUGUCAGCAGGUGAGGCAGUAUGAGGAGAGGUGCUCUGGCUGCCACAGGCAGUAGAGGGCUGUGUGUUUGCCUGCUUUUCCCCCUAUGCUGUCUGCUAGAAUGAUGCUGGCUGCCAAAAGAGAAGCACCGGAGGAACUGAUUCUGAUUUGAAUACGGCCAGCAGGGUUUCAGCAGACCAUGCUAUAGCUGUACAAUGUAUGUGAAUUAGGAGGAUGUCUUCAAAGCGAAGAGUAGCUUGUGUUUGGUGAAACAAUUUGACGAAGCAGAACUGCCAUGAGAAAAGGGCUGCCAGGGGAAUGUAGCCAAGACAGAUGUGACUUGGUCAUACCAAUAAGUUAGGGAAAUUGCAUUUACAGAGCAAUUUUAAAGCACAGGAAUAUGAUCCAAUUUGUCCAGAAAAUUGGAUGUUUCCAUGAAUAAAAGCAAGCAAUCCCAAUCCUCUGCAAGAGUUUUAGUUUUGUGGAGGGCUGGAAAAUUCAGUGUCUUUUCUGUUUGUUCAUUAUGAAUAAAACUCUGAAGGAAACAGACACAUUUUUGGAUAAAAGAAAAAAAGCUCAGAAUAGAUUUAUGAGUCAUUGUCAUAGCAAUAAUAUUUGGGUUUGUACGCAUAGGCAGGAUUGCCAAGAGAAAAGUAUGGGAGCAGAAGAGGCAAAGGAUUAUUAUCUGCAAAGUCAACACAAAAUUGGAGGGUGGGGAUGGAGGUGAAGGGCCUCCUUCAGUCAACAAGAGCAGCAUCAGUGAAGGACUGAGUCACAAAUGCGCAGAAUUCACAGAGCAAGCAAAGAUGUCAAAAGUGGCUGAUGGGUCAAAAGCCUGAGGCUGGCACUCUGCUCUUAGCUUUUGCCCAAGAAGAAAUAGGGGAAGAUUUUUUUUGAGAGUUAUUUCAGUUGGAGGUAUGAUUGGCUACAGAGGACAAAGGAGGUGGAGAAAGAAAACUGUAUAAGCCUAGAGAGGGAAGGGAGCUCCAGAGACGCAUAUUAGACAAGGAGAAAAACUUACAACUUGAAAAAAUAAAGCACAUUAUUGAGAGUGCUGAAAUAGAGAGAACACUGAUAGGUUCAGGAGUAUGAGAAAAAAAUUGAGAGGGGAAACCGAAGAUCAGGACUUGAAAUUAGACUUCUAGGUUAUAAGGAUAUAAAAAGAAAAAUGCUUGACACUGAAAUGGCAGAAGGAGGAAGAAGAGCAGAACAACUUGAUUCAAUUUUCACUUCAGAGAAGUCAGCAAGAGCAUCCAGAGUUUAUUUGUAGAAGCAGUCAUGUAGUGGCAGUGGGAUCUUCAUAUCUCAUGUUGGAUGAUGGGGCACUGGGCAGCCUGCCCUGGUUGGUGACAUCCAGCCCGUGGCCAGGGUUGGGGCUGGCUGGUUUUAAAGUCCCUUCCAACCCAAGAAUCUGUGAUUCUAAACAGUCACUAAAGCUCUAGAGAAUAUGCAGAUAUAAUAAACUAUAUAGCCUUUACACUGAAGUACAGUGGGUACUUUCAGAGUUUUAUAGUACGUGUUUAAGUCACACCUUCACCUCAGGAUCUUCUAAACUCUAUGAACUAUUAGCAGCUGGAAAUGAAAAAUAAGAAAAAACUUGCAGGAAAAAUAUUGCAAUUCCUGUACAAGCUUGUAAAUACUGGUAUUGUAGUGUGCAGGUGGGUGCAUGUGUUUUAUAAUUCCAGAAAGUGACAGGUAGGGGAGCUCUUAUAAAUUUAUUAUUAUGCAGUAAAGCACACCAAAUAUAAGAAAAUAUGCUUAGUUUAGUGUAGGGAAAAAGAGAACAAAAAAUUAUUUUAGAACCUGUCCUCUUUUGUAGAAAUUGGGCUGGAAUUUAACAAUAUAUGUCAAGUGAGGCAAUUGUUUAGUUCUAAAGUAAAAUUCCAGGGAGUACUUUUUACAUUUACACAUGAAUGGUGAGCCAUCAUCUUAAGCUGACCAUGAAUUUCUAAUUUUCCCCCCACAAAAUCUUUCUUUUCU